UGUUAGGAUUAAUCUUGUCUAGCCGAGCUGAGAGAGUCAGUUAGUUUGUUAGCUGCGUGAGGGUCGUGUGCCUAGAGUGAUUCUAGGAGGAAGAAGUGGUCAAGAUAAGAUUAGAUGGGUGCAUGUGAAGUGGCGUGAGUGGGUCAGUUUGUUAGAGAUUAGUCUGUACGUGAUGUUAGUGGCCGAGAGUGGCCGCUGGGCAAUACGUGUGUGAGUCUAUUUAAGCAGUGUAAUCCCGUUUGGUUGAAUCAAUGAGAAGAUAGAAAAUGUAGCACUUGUGGCUGCCAAAGGAGAGAGUCUCAACGAAGCUUUUGUUCUUUUCUUUGGCUAGUGUGUGUGCGUGUGAGUUUACAACCAUGUCUGCGUGUGUUCUUAUGAGACAAAGAGAGAAGGUUGAGCUGUGAGAGGCAGCAAGAGGUGGAACAAGCGGCGCUGCGAGGAGGCGGCGCCAACAAUUGGUAUCAGAGCCAGGUUGUCUUGGGCGUCGUUGCUCUUGCCGGCCGGAGGCGUGCCGACGAUGGCGGCGUCCGUCGGCGGCGCGCGAUGAAGUUCCGGGCCGUGUGUCGGCCUAUGGAGGUGCGCGGCACCGCGGCGAGCGCGGCGGCGCUGCACGGCGGCAUGGAGGCCAUGGAGCUCCUGCGUGGUGGCGCGGUGGACUCCAUGUGACGCGGAGGUCGAUGGCGCGAGGUGGAGAUCGGCGGCGGCGUGGUGCCGCUGGUGGCCGGUUGCGGUGUGAUGCCGCUAGAUUCAGCCGGCGUGAUGAUCUGCGUCGAGAAGUGUCGUGCACGUCAAGAGGUGGUCGCUGCGUGCGGCAACACGACAUGGUGAUCGGCGUAGCGAAGGCGUCGUCCACAUCAAGAGGAGGCCACGACGUGAUGCUGUGGCGACAAGGAGACUGCGGUGCGAUGCCGCGAGGAGGAGGCGGCGGUGUGAUGCCGCCACAAGAAGGAGACGGUGCGAUGCUUCUCGGUGCGGCAGCGGCAGGAUGCCGUUGGGCGCUAGCAACGGCAGUGUGAUGCUGCCACGAGAAGACGAUGGUGAGAUGCCGUUCCAAGAAGACGGCAGUGAGAUGCUGCUGAGAAGAUGUACGGCGGCGCGAGGUCGUCAUGAGGAUCAGCGCAAAGCUAGUCGACGGUGGUGUGAUGCCAUCGUCGUCAUGAAGUUAUCCUCGGUGGUGUGAUGCCAUCCCCAAGAUGAGUCGCUGUGACGCCGGCGGCAAGACGUACAUGACCAGGUGCGUUGCCGGUGCAAGUGGAGAUCCAUGCCGCGGUGACAGGCGCUGUGACGGCGUCAUCCACAGCGAGAUGCCCUGUGUGGUCUUGGUGCUGCGAAGGCAAAGUUCAUGGCAAGAGGUUUGCAGGUGAUCUGCAUCAAGAUUAGAGGAGUUGACAUGACAAGAUUAGGGAGGUGAAUGUUAGGAUUAAUCUUGUCUAGCCGAGCUGAGAGAGUCAGUUAGUUUGUUAGCUGCGUGAGGGUCGUGUGCCUAGAGUGAUUCUAGGAGGAAGAAGUGGUCAAGAUAAGAUUAGAUGGGUGCAUGUGAAGUGGCGUGAGUGGGUCAGUUUGUUAGAGAUUAGUCUGUACGUGAUGUUAGUGGCCGAGAGUGGCCGCUGGGCAAUACGUGUGUGAGUCUAUUUAAGCAGUGUAAUCCCGUUUGGUUGAAUCAAUGAGAAGAUAGAAAAUGUAGCACUUGUGGCUGCCAAAGGAGAGAGUCUCAACGAAGCUUUUGUUCUUUUCUUUGGCUAGUGUGUGUGCGUGUGAGUUUACAACCAUGUCUGUGUGUGUUCUUAUGAGACAAAGAGAGAAGGUUGAGCUGUGAGAGGCAGCAAGAGGUGGAAGAAGCGGCGCUGCGAGGAGGCGGCGCCAACA
This 1866-nucleotide long non-coding RNA is filed under the name Triticum aestivum (bread wheat). Its description in RNAcentral is "long non-coding RNA (TAES_LNC001543)". The record is from RNAcentral. Lineage: Eukaryota; Viridiplantae; Streptophyta; Magnoliopsida; Poales; Poaceae.